This 343-nucleotide unclassified non-coding RNA is filed under the name uncultured Amphinema. RNAcentral's name for it is "sequence contains ITS1". The stretch from base 1 to 106 matches the Rfam family "5.8S ribosomal RNA", at positions 50 to 154 of the family's 154-position model. Lineage: Eukaryota; Fungi; Basidiomycota; Agaricomycetes; Atheliales; Atheliaceae. The record is from RNAcentral.
GAAAUGUGAUAAGUAAUGUGAAUUGCAGAUUUUCAGUGAAUCAUUGAAUCUUUGAACGCACCUUGCGCUCCUUGGUAUUCCGAGGAGCAUGCCUGUUUGAGUGUCAUUAAAUCAUCAACCCCACUGAUUUGUUUCGGCUUGGGGCUUGGACUUGGAGUGUGCUGGCGAAGGUCGGCUCCUCUUUAAAUGCAUCAGUGGAAGAAUGCACUUUUUUCCCCCUUCAGCGUGAUAAUCCUGUUGCGCUGUGUGUGGGUCAAAGGUGUUCCGCUUAUAAUCGUCCUUCGGACAAAUGAACCCAUCUAUUUUUGACCUCAAAUCAGGUAGGACUACCCGCUGAACUUAA